Molecule: long non-coding RNA, 1162 nt
Organism: Brassica oleracea var. oleracea
Lineage: Eukaryota; Viridiplantae; Streptophyta; Magnoliopsida; Brassicales; Brassicaceae
Exons: 4
Source: RefSeq, a predicted model, not a curated record
CAACGUUUAGUUUUUUUUUUUGGUAAACCUCAACGUUUAGUCUUUUGAUGUUCAUCUCCUCUAUUCAUCAAAGUCAUCUUCAAUAGUAUAACACUGCCAACAGAUUCGUCUCUAUAGCUUGAAUCGAGGUGGAAGUGAGAAGCCGUAGAAUCUGGGGACGAGAGGCGGCGUAUAGGGAGUCUGGAGACAAAUCUUCGCUGGAAUUGAAACCAGCAUGUAGAGAGAUAUCAAAGAGGAGUUAAAAAAUUGGUUGGGAGAGAAGACUUCCAGCUCCAGGGAGACCUUAGAAGAAACUGAAUGGAGCAUGUGAAGAAACAAAGGAGAAAAUUUGGUACAGUCGAUGAACUAAUCCAAGUGAUCACUCCAAAAGGCAGAGAUAAACAAAGAUAAACAAACACUUUUAAGAUGAAACCAGAACAGAGAAACCUGUUUUCCAAAUACUUUGAAAUAUCACAAUUCUAUUUUUCAGUUUGAGGUAUUAGACUUGGGUUAUUAUGAAAUGGAAAGUGGGAAAGAAGAGAGUAUGCAUACAUAUCCUUUGAGAUCUCUUGCUUCAUCUCUUGAAAAGGGUCUGUGCGUAUGAGUUAACCAAGAAUUAAAUUCAGCGAUAUUUUCACAGGUUUGUAUUGAGUUUUCUCAUUGAUGAUUUAUGAGUUAUCUAUAUAAUUUCGCCAUUGCUCUCUCAGGUUUAAGAUGAUUCACCAUGUUCCGGUUGGUUCAAAACUUUUAUGUAUGUAAUGUCUGUUGCAGGUGAAGUCUCCUUGCUCUUUCACUCAAAGAGAGAUUGAAUAUCUCACGGACACCAUCCAUAAUGGUGGCACUGAAGUAAUGAGUCUUGAUCCGAUGUUUCAUUUGCUGGAGGACAUGUAUUGAGUUUUUAUAAUCAUUGUUCUUCACUCCAUAUAUAUUUAACUGCAUAUGAACUGAUGCUGCAGUAAUGCUACGGUCACGAUUGAUGGCAACGACCUUCGAUAUGAUAGAUCCAGCACAGUGACAUGACUGGCGGUAGAAACCAAAACCAGAGUUACGCUAAAGCAAAGGGAACAAGGAAACAUAAAGUAAAAACAAAGUUGUGAUUGCCCUCCUUGCCUCUUCUGUGAAAACUUAGAAAUACUUUUGCUUUGUGUUUGUUAGUGUCCGUAAAAUCCACAUCUAUAUGUAA